GAUAAACGCUAGCGGCAGGCCUAACACAUGCAAGUCGAGGGGUAACGAUGUCUUCGGACAGGCGACGACCGGCGCACGGGUGAGUAUCGCGUUUGUAACCUACCUUUAACUGGAGAAUAGCCCGAAGAAAUUCGGAUUAAUACUCCAUAAUACUAUGAACUGGCAUCUUUUUAUAGUUAAAGCUCCGGCGGUUAAAGAUGGGCAUGCGUAACAUUAGAUUGUUGGUGAGGUAACGGCUCACCAAGUCUACGAUGUUUAGGGGGUCUGAGAGGAUGGUCCCCCACACUGGUACUGAGACACGGACCAG
This 307-nucleotide ribosomal RNA is filed under the name uncultured bacterium. RNAcentral's name for it is "bacterial SSU rRNA". It matches the Rfam family "Bacterial small subunit ribosomal RNA", at positions 28 to 334 of the family's 1533-position model. The record is from RNAcentral.